AGUCACUGACAUUAGAUACCCGGUAGUCCCAGCCGUAAACAAUGUGCGUUAGGUAUGUCGGUAACCACGUGUUACUGAUGUGCCGAAGAGAAAUCGUGAAACGCACCACCUGGGAAGUGCGGUCGCAAGGCUGAAACUUAAAGGAAUUGGCGGGGAGCACCACAACAGGUGGAGCCUGCGGUUUAAUUGGAUUCAACGCCGGACAUCUCACCGGAUAAGACAGCUGAAUGAUUGUCAAUCUGAAGGUUUUACAUGACUAGCUG
Molecule: ribosomal RNA, 263 nt
Filed under: uncultured archaeon
Lineage: Archaea
Description: partial 16S ribosomal RNA
Rfam family: Archaeal small subunit ribosomal RNA
Source: RNAcentral